AUUGAACGCUGGCGGCAGGCCUAACACAUGCAAGUCGAGCGAGCGGCGGACGGGUGAGUAAUGUCUGGGAAACUGCCUGAUGGAGGGGGAUAACUACUGGAAACGGUAGCUAAUACCGCAUACCAUCAGAUGUGCCCAGAUGGGAUUGGCUAGUAGGUGGGGUAACGGCUCACCUAGGCGACGAUCCCUAGCUGGUCUGAGAGGAUGACCAGCAAAACGGGAACGGAGACACGGGCCAUAAUCCUACGGGAGGCAGCAGUGGGGAAGAGGGGACAAUGGGAGAAAGCGUGAUCCAGCCAUGCAGCGUGUGUGAAGAAGGUCUUCGGAUUGUAAAGCACUUUAAGUUGGGAGGCGUUACCAACAGAAGAAGCACCGGCUAACUUCGUGCCAGCAGCCGCGGUAAUUC
This 406-nucleotide ribosomal RNA is filed under the name uncultured bacterium. Its description in RNAcentral is "partial 16S ribosomal RNA". It matches the Rfam family "Bacterial small subunit ribosomal RNA", at positions 29 to 526 of the family's 1533-position model. The record is from RNAcentral.